GAGAGUAUAGCUCAAUUGGUAGAGUGCAUGCUUGGCGUACACAAGGUCCUGGGUUCAAUCCCCAGUACCUCCU
This 73-nucleotide transfer RNA is filed under the name Camelus bactrianus (Bactrian camel). It matches the Rfam family "tRNA". From Rfam's summary of the family: Transfer RNA (tRNA) molecules are approximately 80 nucleotides in length. RNAcentral also lists the same sequence under 2 other names. The record is from Rfam by way of RNAcentral. Lineage: Eukaryota; Metazoa; Chordata; Mammalia; Artiodactyla; Camelidae.